GCCGCGGUAGCUCAAUUGGUAGAGCAUCGCACCCGAAAUGCGAAGGUUGUGGGUUCGGUUCCCACCUGCGGCA
This 73-nucleotide transfer RNA is filed under the name Dermacentor andersoni. Its description in RNAcentral is "transfer RNA serine (anticodon CGA)". It matches the Rfam family "tRNA". Rfam says of the family: Transfer RNA (tRNA) molecules are approximately 80 nucleotides in length. Their secondary structure includes four short double-helical elements and three loops (D, anti-codon, and T loops). Lineage: Eukaryota; Metazoa; Arthropoda; Arachnida; Ixodida; Ixodidae. The record is from RNAcentral.